CCGGAGCAAACACUCCACUCCCUCACUACACAGACACAGGCGGAUAAGCUCCUCUCUCCCUCACAGAACACGACCGCCCCUCUUCCACUGCAUCCCCACCGGCGGCGAGACGAACACCCACCCCUGCCUGGUCCAUGGCGGCCGCCCUUCCCCAGCCGCUGAUCUAUGCCCCUCCACCCCCUGCUGCCGCUGCGCCGGUCCAUGGCGGCCGCCCUUCCCUUACCUCUCUUCACGCAGCCCGGAUCUGCCGCCUAUGGCUUCCACCUUGCUUCCCUUUUCCCCAUCGCUCUCCAGCCCCGCAACGGACCCGUUCGCCGCCACCAGCCUAGUCGGCAGCCACGGCUCCGCUCCGGCCGCCAUGGAUGAGCUUUGCCUCCAACGGAUCGUCGGCACCGACCACCGGGCAGCCUUGGAGGGAUCCGGCAGAGGCUCCCCACCUCGACUGCGGCUGGAGGAGGCCGUCGAUGCUUCCUACUUCGCGCCGUCCCAGCAACAAUGAGCGCCGCCGCGUCCGUCCAUGGGUACCCCCUGCUCAGCGGACUUCGUAGACGGUGAGGAAUCUGAGAUCCCCAUUAGGAUAAGUAUAUGUGACUGCUUUUGUCUAAAUCUUGCGUGAACUGAACAUAGUUGUGUGCAUACUGAACUUUGACUGAAAUAAUUGCUUGAGAGAAUUAGCUAUCAUCAAAUUGUCUAUUUUGUUAAAUUUAAUGUGUUUGUUUCAAAGUCUGCUAAAACAACUUGGAGACGUGCUUUGCUAUUGUAGGUUGACAUGAUGGGUGAGUAGUCUGCUGAUGACGAAGACCCUUAAUUAUGAUGUCAUCUACUCUCAUUUGGUACUACAGUAUUCUUAAUUGCGGACACUUCCUUUGUAGUUAAAAACGGCAUGAACAAUUGCAGCUUAUUGUUAGUUAUCUCCGAGCUGCACUGAGCAUUCUUACAUCGUUCGGCUUGUAGUAUUGUAUAAUUUCCUAAACACCAUCAAGUUUCCAGAAAGCUCGUUGUUAGAUGCAUUAUUGGAUAAUGUGACCGGUGCAACAUAUGCCCGGAAGGGCUCUUAAGGCCCUUUUCUUCUUCUAUUUAGAUAACAGAGGUCCUGGUCUUCUAGGAUUUACACUUGUUUCAGUCAUAAAUCUGUUGUUGCCUUUUUUGUGUGUUGAAAAUCAUGACUUUAUUGUUCGGAUCAUUUGAACGCUGCCUUGUUCCAGUUACCACCAUAUUUUCCCGAGGGACAUUAUUCUAUCCUUUUUAGAUGUUCUACAAGCAGUCUUGCCCGGGAAGAAAAUGCACAUCAUGGGGAACUUAAUAGUGGAGAAGAAAAACCCAGUCCAGGCAGGUGCGCUGGCUGAGGACUUGGUUGGCACCGACGCCGUCGGCUGCGGAAGGCGGCGAUGGCCAACACUCGCUGGACGGCGAUGGCGCAACAGUGGCUUGGCAGCGCCGACGUCUCACUGCAAUUGCGUUUGGACGGCGACAUCGAAGAAAGACACCGAGAUUAACUGGGAUGGAACUGGUCACAUAUUGUGCACAAGAGGAUAGUCUGCACAUGGCGGCUGCGAUGUACGUCCGGGUGGGCAAAGGCAGGAAGAUUGAGUUGAUUCCCGUAAGUUUAGCUGUUUGUUGUGAGGCGGACAUAUCAAUUGCCAUAAUUGUGGCUAUUUUUCUGUAGUUGAUUGGCUUGAUCUUUUUGUUUGCGUGGAGGUGGAACUGUUCGAUCGAAGGCAGAGUUUCGUCCGCUAUUCUAAAUUGCUAAACGCACACAGUGGAAUCAGUUUUCUUGACCCCAUGGGAGAAGUUAGAAGUGAUAUUCUCGAGAGUUCCCACCAACUGGUUUGAUGUAUGUUGGAACAGGGCUGACCUGCAUGAGUACUCAUUGAGGAGCAAGAGUAUCUCAGGCCCCACGCUUUCCUCGUUUAUCUCAGGCCCAAUGUUUUUUUUUUGUUUUUUUAUACCCCACACAUACAGAAUUAAAGGAGUUAUUUUCGUAAUACAUUUUUAUACAGAAUUAUUCGGUUCAGCUCAUCGGAACGUUUCAUCGAUACUUUUGUGUGCUUUCUCUUACCUUUUUUUAUAUACAUAAAGUUUACUUCUCUGUAUAGAAAAAUAAUUCUUGUAUCAUUUGUCUUGCCAGCUAGUUAACGUUUGUCUUGCCAGCUAGUUAAUGUAUCCUCAGCGGCCGUGCUUGAUAGGAGGGGCCAGGGAAGUGCUUUAAGUCGUUCCAAGAAUGUGAGACAGUGUCAAGUCUGUAAGGCAAGUCAAGGCGCUCCUGUUGCGGCAAGAUCCUUCAGCAGUGCAGGAGAUUAAGGGUUCCAUAAUCGAUUCCGCGCCUGUUGCUGUCCCCAAUUUUCAGAACUAUCCAGAACAGAAACAAGAGCAAUGAACGGAUGUCAUUGUUAACAUCUUCACACGCGUGCAAAUCAGCCUGCCGAGGAGUUUGCCGCCGCUGAUGCGCAGUCCGGAGACAGUCGCGUCAGUGUGGGCGACGACGUCUGAAAGAUUGAAGAGAAAGCAUGCACCUGUGUUGGCGAGGAGGUCGUCGUCGUGGAUGUCGCGGGCGUCGUCCUGGAUGUCGCGUCGUCGGCGUCGUCGGUGCGGGCGUCCUCGGCGCGGGCGUUUCGGUGGAGGGCAACUCUGAAGAGCGACAGGAGGAUUGGUCGCUGCUAAUUUUGGAGCGGAUGUGGCUGUUUUGGUGUGUUUUUUCUUUUCUUUUUGUUGGCGUUGGGUGAAGGACGGCAGAGUUUCGUCCGUCCACCUAAAUUGCUUAGCGUACAACGUCAGGGGUACUUUUCUGUAUUCACGGUUAGAUCCCAUUGAGUAGGCUUAUCUUGACCCUCCAAUUGAUGUGUUUUCUUCUGUGUACAGUAAGCGGUGUGCGUUUAGGGGAGUUAACGUUUGCUUAUUUUAUAGUAGUAGAGAUAUUCAUAUAGAUUAGUGUUCGGAACCAAGAGGUCACAGUCAGUGUGAAUUUUAUAUGUACAUAUUAAUUUAA
RNA transcript from Triticum dicoccoides, 2986 nucleotides. RefSeq lists it as uncharacterized. Lineage: Eukaryota; Viridiplantae; Streptophyta; Magnoliopsida; Poales; Poaceae. The transcript has 6 exons. The record is from RefSeq and is a predicted model, not a curated record.